GGUAGAGUGCCUAAGUAGCAAAGGGUUUAGCUCGAAACUAAAUGGGUUCGCCCGCGUAGGUUCGAGUCCUAUCUCUAUCG
This 80-nucleotide transfer RNA is filed under the name Tolypocladium ophioglossoides CBS 100239. It matches the Rfam family "tRNA". From Rfam's summary of the family: Transfer RNA (tRNA) molecules are approximately 80 nucleotides in length. Their secondary structure includes four short double-helical elements and three loops (D, anti-codon, and T loops). Further hydrogen bonds mediate the characteristic L-shaped molecular structure. tRNAs have two regions of fundamental functional importance: the anti-codon, which is responsible for specific mRNA codon recognition, and the 3' end, to which the tRNAs corresponding amino acid is attached (by aminoacyl-tRNA synthetases). tRNAs cope with the degeneracy of the genetic code in two manners: having more than one tRNA (with a specific anti-codon) for a particular amino acid; and 'wobble' base-pairing, i.e. permitting non-standard base-pairing at the 3rd anti-codon position. The record is from Rfam by way of RNAcentral. Lineage: Eukaryota; Fungi; Ascomycota; Sordariomycetes; Hypocreales; Ophiocordycipitaceae.